AGUGAACGCUGGCGGUAGGCCUAACACAUGCAAGUCGAACGGCAGCACAGUAAGAGCUUGCUCUUACGGGUGGCGAGUGGCGGACGGGUGAGGAAUACAUCGGAAUCUACUUUUUCGUGGGGGAUAACGUAGGGAAACUUACGCUAAUACCGCAUACGACCUACGGGUGAAAGCAGUGGAUCUUCGGACCUUUCGCGAUAGAAUGAGCCGAUGUCGGAUUAGCUAGUUGGCGGGGUAAAGGCCCACCAAGGCGACGAUCCGUAGCUGGUCUGAGAGGAUGAUCAGCCACACUGGAACUGAGACACGGUCCAGACUCCUACGGGAGGCAGCAGUGGGGAAUAUUGGACAAUGGGCGCAAGCCUGAUCCAGCCAUACCGCGUGGGUGAAGAAGGCCUUCGGGUUGUAAAGCCCUUUUGUUGGGAAAGAAAAGCAGCAGGUUAAUACCCCGCUGUUCUGACGGUACCCAAAGAAUAAGCACCGGCUAACUUCGUG
This 492-nucleotide ribosomal RNA is filed under the name uncultured bacterium. RNAcentral's name for it is "partial 16S ribosomal RNA". It matches the Rfam family "Bacterial small subunit ribosomal RNA", at positions 29 to 507 of the family's 1533-position model. The record is from RNAcentral.